Long non-coding RNA from Stegodyphus dumicola, 489 nucleotides. The record is from RefSeq and is a predicted model, not a curated record. NCBI's taxonomy places the organism in Eukaryota, Metazoa, Arthropoda, Arachnida, Araneae, Eresidae.
AUGCCAGACAGCGGAAAUUGAAAUUGUAUUUGAUGACUUCGAAAUAACAAACGUGACCUACAAUCCAAAAUUCGAAAGUCUAGAAUUGUUCAGCGUGAUUGGUGGCUACAUGGGAAUGUAUCUUGGUGUGUCAAUAGUGGCAGUAUACGACUUCGCCGAAAUCCUAAUGACUGCCAUCUAUAAGUUUUUUAAGAAGCGAGAAGCCGCAAAGAAGAAGACGAAAAUUCAGCGGAAAAAAGACGUGAAACGGCAUAUGGAUGACUUUCGGUACUCAGCUGCAUUCCGACGGAGAUCUGUAGUACCAUACGCGUCAAGAGAUGUUUAUUAAAAAGACUGCACAUGUUGUUUAAUUAUCUUUUAAAUUCACUUACUGGUUUUAUGAAUGUAAUAGCACGUUCAGUUAAAAUUGUUUUCGCAUGAAAGUUAAUAAUUUUUUGCCUGGAAAUGAUUAGUUUCAAUGUUUACUUAAAGAUAUAAUUUUUGAAAUUA